This is a long non-coding RNA of Canis lupus familiaris (dog), 4687 nucleotides long. RefSeq lists it as uncharacterized. Lineage: Eukaryota; Metazoa; Chordata; Mammalia; Carnivora; Canidae. The record is from RefSeq and is a predicted model, not a curated record. The transcript is spliced from 3 exons.
CUCCAGGCCCAUUUAUGAUCCUGGGCAGAGUCUGAGUAAUCUAGCGCAUCUGAAUCACAAGAAAGAGGCAAGUCUCAAUUUGGAAUCAGAAAAUGAUGCAAACAUUUCUGAGCCCUGGGAAAGGAGGGAAGCCUGGGCAGAACCGGGAUCUGCCUAGAAAGGGAUACUCCUGGUGUGGAGGAACCAACCCCAUGUCAGUGAAGAAGCCACAGAGAGAGUCAGUACCCACGACUGAUUUGUCUCUGCUGGGUUUGGACGGCCCCCUGUCCCCUUGGCCCGAGCCGAGCCUUUGAGGACACGCAUGAGCAGCGUCUAGUUCUCCUUUGCUGGGUCAUGAGAGGAAAGAGCUUGUCUUGGAGAAGGGUCAAGGGCAGGCUGUUUUGUUCUCCAGCAACAAAACAGAGCAGGCUAGAGGAAACCACCCAAGUGACGAGCUCUGCAGAGGGCAAGUGAAGGCUGAGUCUAAACACAAAAGUGGAGGAGCCCAUCUCCUUGGAGCUGUUUAUAUUACAUAACUCAAAUAAACACAGCAGUGCAAGAACGGUUCCCUUGGCGAGGGCCAGGACCACAGAGCCGAGAGGCAGACAAAGGGCGUCGCCUCCAGCCCUGGUCAGAGAAGCCUCCUUUCAAACAAUGACACGGACCACAGCAACCCGACUAACCCACAGGGACACACCAGCACGAUGCAGCAGGAUACCCUGAACGGAUUAACAAGAACCGUUUAAUUAGGACUUCUAAGGUGUCUUUCUUUGCUCUGGCUGAGAAAUAGACCCUGAUCAGAGCAAGAAGCAGCAGCAAAACUGACCCCGAAAUGGCUCUUUUCAUUUGCAAAGGAGGGGUGGGUAUGAGGAGGCACCUGUGAGCCCCUGGGAAGCUGGGAAACCAGGCCCAGGCAGGAAGGAGCACAGCCGCUGCCUCCCACCCCCCGACAACCCCAGGGGAACAGCCUUCUCAGCCCUGGGGCGAAGCAGGGGGACCCCGGCCUUCUGGGAAGCAUCGGGCAGUUUCCAUGGCGUCAGUGCGAGCAAGAAGAAGAAGAAAAAAAAUAAAAGUUUCCAACUCCGUAAAUGAGCACAGGCCCACAGGCCCCACGUCUGAACGAAAUCAGAGAGUCUUGAAAUUGAGAGCAGGCGAGAACCUACUGAAACCUUCUUUUUCAUCAGCAGCCUGCAGCCUCCUGGGACAGCAGCCCCUAUCAUAUGCCAGGGGACAAGAAUAGAACUAAAAAUUGAGAGCACAGCCCUCAGCACGGGCUGAUAGUCCUGGUUGCCAACAGUUGCCCCAUUAGUAGGCUAUGGGGACAUGCUAGGGAACAUUUUCUCUACAAGGCUUGUGUUUAAAAAUACAUCUUGCUUCAGAGCCGGCCUGGGGCGUGGCCGGGGAGUCAGCCUUCUCUUCUGGGCUGAGCAGGUGCUUGUCACUCUGUGAUUCACUGCAGAUCACUUACCCUCUGGGCUUGCCCCUUCCGCACCACGUGACAGCGACCCAGACCUCCACGAGGGCCCCUCGCAAGUUAAUGUCUUAGACGAUUCCUGGAUGAAAGCCACACUCCACAGUCGCCCUCCCCAGGGUACACACAGGAUGCGCGCGUGGCCGGGGCUGAAAGGCGAUGGUGACCAAGGUCACACUUCACUGCCAAGGGUGCCGACCCCUUCGCACUCUGUGGAUGUAUCCCUGGAGAUAGUUCUCUCCCUGUUUCCUUAUUCUUGAGAGGAGGACAAGAGCUCCCACCCCCAUCCCGAGGACGGUUAGGAGCAGUAGCUAACGGAAGUGGCCGAGAAGCUCUCGGCAGAUGCCAAAUUCAGAAUCAAGUGUUGAGUGAUGGCCUCCCUCAGCGACCCUACGCACUGCACUGCGUUACCUCCGUGCCCCGCUCUAACUGCUCCGAUGACAGACUGCCCCGUGGGGCGUGAAGCCGGUCUGCCCAGAAGUCCCGGGUUCUGCUACAGAAGGUUGCCUUUGCAGGAACCACUGCAAUCCCUGCGUGUCCAGACUUAUGUUCUGGGUAGGAGACAACAGGUGAUGGAUGAGCUGCCAAGGCGGGGAGGCUGCCAGCAUCCAGCCCAGGCACCCGGGGCUUGGCACCCCUUUCCCGAGGGGAGGUGGAGGUGAAUACAUCAACAUGGUGGGGUCAAGUUUGAGUCCGCCUCCAUGAAGCCCUGGGGAACCUCCUUUUUGAAAAACAACUGGGACAGUGUGACAGCUGUUUAAGGAUGAAAAGGAAAGGGUCCCCCGGGAAACCUCCCCAGGGAAGGCUCUGCCUGCAGGAGGCUGUGAGUGACACACAAGACAGCCGGCAGGAGUGGGGACAGCCUGGCCUGCGUGACCGUCUGCCUCGUCAGUGAUCGGAAGCAGAGUACAUGUGUAGAAGCUGGUGGUCGCGAUGACCACAGCAGCAGUGCCACUGACUAGUACCGGUGGUGGGGCCUAUAGAGCAGUUAGACGGCUCUGAGGCUGUGGCCCUGCAAGGACUUGACCGUGACAUGGUUGCCACGUCGGAGUCCCCGCUGCUCCUUCAGCAGUUUAGUUUGGGGCCUUUAUAAACAAGACCCAAAUCGGGUUUUAUGGCUGCCAGCUAUCUGCAGCCACUUUAACAUCUGGUUCCUUAUGCAAUUGUCCCUCAUGACAAAUGAGUGGUGGGGCACAAAGAUGUGAAGGAUGGGGACAGAGAGCUCACCUUGAGAAGCUAAGCACUGGAGGGAUUCACAGAUGCAGCGUCUCUCGGCACUUCCUUUCCACGUCUCUGGGGCUGAAAUCCGAGGUCACGUGGUAUCUCUGUCAGAACAAGUCUGCUCCGCGGCCAACCAUCCUAUGGGACAGGGCAGGGCCCGGAUGGCGUUGGCUCCCGGGUCUGCCCUGGUGUAGGGUUCUCAGUGGCCCUAUUUUUGGCAGAGCUUUUUUUUAUCCUUGCUCUUUAUCACAAGCCUGUCGGGCAAAUGACAGAGGAAUUGCAAGCUUGAAUGGGCUUGUCUGACAGGCCAACUUUCAUCCUGGGUGCUGCCGCCUGACUUUUAAAAAGGCACUCGGAGCAGAAGAGAGUAAUUUCACACUGAUUCCUGGCUGUAAUUUGCUUUUGGGUUUAAAAUGUCGCAUUUCAAUCAUCCUUGCUUCAGGCCAGAGGGGAGGAGAUGGACCACGCGCGCCGUCCGUGUUUGUAACAGACACGCGCAAAGGCAACUGCUUCGCUCCGAAGCCACCCUGGCAAGCACACCGAGGAGCCCUCUCCCAGGGCAGACAAGCGCGUUCAAAGGCAUCCGUAAUAACUUAGCAGUUCUAGCAGGCAGAGCGAGCGAGCUGCAGGUGACACAAAGCCUGGCCUGGGACAUCCCCAUCAGCAAGCGUGUAUUAGACUACCUCUCUCCCCCAGGCCGCGGGAAGCAGAGGAGAUGCGGAGCUUUAGGCAAACCUCAGAAAUGGAAGGGUCAGAAACCCUGUGCGCACCUGACUGCACCAAGGACAAGACAAGGUCCGGCCGUGGCUGUGGAAUUCAGCUGGGGCAAGCGUGAGCCAAGAGGUACAAGGAGAGAAGCAGGAAGUGGCCUCCCUGCUCAUGCGGGCGGGUGAGCUUGUGCGUGGAGCAUCCUCGAAGAAAAGGGACAGAGGCGCGUGGGAAGGUCAGGGGCACGGUUGUGCCUGGUCAGCAGCAGGAAGGGUGACUUCUCCCGGCGCAGCCAUCAUCCCAGCCUUCGCCUCCUCUCACCAGGCUUCCUUACAGGCCACAUGCUGCCUGACAUGUAAUUCUUUUUUCCUGGGAUGGCUUCUAAUGUCCCCCCACCUUAAUCUUGCUCCUCACCUGCUUAUAAAUCCUUUGAGCUCAGGAACCACUAUCUAGCCCUCUCUGUCCACUCCAGGCUGACCCAACCUGACCUCCCUUGACCCUCCCCACAGAACUGCCAGCAUCCCUUGGGCAGGGGGUGACGCCUCGCUCUGUGGAUCUGGGGUGCUUUCUGGAGGCCUGACAGGGAAGCUGGACUGGUGGCAUUGCCAGGGGUUGCUGCUGCCUCUUCUAUCCGGCUGUGGGUGCCCUGGGAGCAGGAUCCACCUUCAUGUCUCAGCUCUUGGCUCCUGGCACAGUGCCUGGCACUCAGCAAAGGUUUACUGAAUGAAUGCAUUCCCCAUGUUUGGCCCAUCCUGGGGGAACGGGCCCAGCAUGUUUGGGGGGACAGAGUCAAAGAUAGGAGACAAGAUGAAUGCUUCAGAGGGAAAUGAGGCCCCGGGACCCUCCUGAUAUGCUGGGGGCACCCGGGGCCAACCCUAGAUAUGAUGCUUUGGGAAGUGAUGCUUGCUUUCUGGAGCCCCUGCCUCAUCUUGAGACCGUGUUCUACUUUGUCGGGUUUUUCCAAAACUUUCUGUCAGCUUUCUCUUAUGGCCUUCAGUUACACUGCUGGACUAAUUAACAGUCUCCAGAGAUGGACUGUGGGGUCUGGGUGUACAGGGGCCAUGUGUCAGGGUGGGGAGCUGGACAGAGAGGGUGGUGAAGAUCAGGGGCUCAAGGCUGCCCCCCGCCCUGCCAUGUGAUGUGGAUGGGGGUGCUCAGCUUCCCUGCACACGGAACUCUAGAAGGGAUGCAGAGAGUCUCCAUUGAGUCCUCCAGAAAGUUAGGCACACUGAUGCAUGCGAGUGUCCCAGGUGAUGCCCAGCACAUCGUAAGUGCUCAUUAAAAGCCAGUUCCUGCCAUUUGAAACCA